This 235-nucleotide ribosomal RNA is filed under the name Citrobacter freundii. RNAcentral describes it as "partial 23S ribosomal RNA". It matches the Rfam family "Bacterial large subunit ribosomal RNA", at positions 2696 to 2925 of the family's 2925-position model. The record is from RNAcentral. RNAcentral also lists the same sequence under 2 other names. Lineage: Bacteria; Pseudomonadati; Pseudomonadota; Gammaproteobacteria; Enterobacterales; Enterobacteriaceae.
AGUGGACGCAUCACUGGUGUUCGGGUUGUCAUGCCAAUGGCAUUGCCCGGUAGCUAAAUGCGGAAGAGAUAAGUGCUGAAAGCAUCUAAGCACGAAACUUGCCCCGAGAUGAGUUCUCCCUGAGACUAUAAGUCUCCUGAAGGAACGUUGAAGACGACGACGUUGAUAGGUCGGGUGUGUAAGUGUAGCGAUACAUUGAGCUAACCGAUACUAAUGAACCGUGAGGCUUAACCUU